AGACCCGAAACCCGGUGAUCUAGCCAUGGGCAGGUUGAAGGUUGGGUAACACUAACUGGAGGACCGAACCGACUAAUGUUGAAAAAUUAGCGGAUGACCUGUGGCUGGGGGUGAAAGGCCAAUCAAACCGGGAGAUAGCUGGUUCUCCCCGAAAGCUAUUUAGGUAGCGCCUCGUGAAUUCAUCUCCGGGGGUAGAGCACUGUUUCGGCUAGGGGGCCAUCCCGGCUUACCAACCCGAUGCAAACUGCGAAUACCGGAGAAUGUUAUCACGGGAGACACACGGCGGGUGCUAACGUCCGUCGUGAAGAGGGAAACAACCCAGACCGCCAGCUAAGGUCCCAAAGUCAUGGUUAAGUGGGAAACGAUGUGGGAAGGCCCAGACAGCCAGGAUGUUGGCUUAGAAGCAGCCAUCAUUUAAAGAAAGCGUAAUAGCUCACUGGUCGAGUCGGCCUGCGCGGAAGAUGUAACGGGGCUAAACCAUGCACCGAAGCUGCGGCAGCGACGCUGAUGCGUUGUUGGGUAGGGGAGCGUUCUGUAAGCCUGCGAAGGUGGCCUGUGAGGGUUGCUGGAGGUAUCAGAAGUGCGAAUGCUGACAUAAGUAACGAUAAAGCGGGUGAAAAGCCCGCUCGCCGGAAGACCAAGGGUUCCUGUCCAACGUUAAUCGGGGCAGGGUGAGUCGACCCCUAAGGCGAGGCCGAAAGGCGUAGUCGAUGGGAAACGGGUUAAUAUUCCCGUACUUGGUGUUACUGCGAAGGGGGGACGGAGAAGGCUAUGUUGGCCGGGCGACGGUUGUCCCGGUUUAAGCGUGUAGGCUGGUUUUCCAGGCAAAUCCGGAAAAUCAAGGC
Molecule: ribosomal RNA, 845 nt
Filed under: Salmonella enterica subsp. enterica serovar Montevideo
Lineage: Bacteria; Pseudomonadati; Pseudomonadota; Gammaproteobacteria; Enterobacterales; Enterobacteriaceae
Also listed under: 1 other name
Description: partial 23S ribosomal RNA
Rfam family: Bacterial large subunit ribosomal RNA
Source: RNAcentral